AGUUAAUGACUGAAAAAAAGAGAGGGAGAAUAGAGUAAGAGAAAGGCUCUUGGCCCUAGUCUUAGAGAGAGAAAGGCAUGAGAGAGAGAGAGAGAGAGAGAGUCAGUAUUGCUUACUUGUGAGACAGGGUUUAUCCCAUUUUAUAGUACAGUUCGAUGAGUGUGAGGACGCGCUGACUUCCAUAUCAAUGAAUAGGCGGCUGACCCAAUUAUGCCUUUAGGGCGUGAUUGGUAUCUAGCCCAUCACAUCAUCGGUGUUUAAGCUAAAGCUUGUGGGAGAAUGGUCUUUCGCUGUGGGCUUCAUAGUCCUAGUUUCUGAUCUCGCUGGUAGAAUGGUCUUUUCAGCUGCUGCAACUUUGGUAGUUAGUUAGCUUUGCUCGCAAAUUCACAUCCUCUCGGUUUUGUUUGGCAUUAAGAGUGUGACAAAGGUCUACACCGGAGGUGGAUCAGCAUGGUAGUACCCUUUGCUUGCCUAUAGCCACGGUUUUGUUGUUGUUGUGGCUCUCGACCUUAGUAACGUAAGAAGAUGCUUAUUUUCCUUUCAGGCUGCACCAAUAUGCGUCUUCUCAAAGGGUCGACCUUACCUCAAACGGCCCUUCACCAGCCUUAGGGGAUGGCAUUAUCAGGUUAUUGCCCACUAAUACCUGUUGCAGCUCUACCAUUUGAGCUAGUAUCAAUUUAAUGGCAACGUCUCGACUGUUCUCUUAGCCAUUAAGGAGUGACUGACCUAGCCUCUGCCUAGAAGAACCCUUGGCCGCCCUUUAAGUAUCGGACAAUAGUUUAUUCCCUCUCUCACUCGGUGUUCUGGGCACGAAAGAGUAUUCCCUUUUGGCUUUGUGACUGCCUCUACCGCCAUUUGUACUUUUAGAUGACAUUGAAACACUUGUGAUGACUUGGAUAGGCCAACGGUCGUCGGAGGUGGCGAAAAUGGAGGGCAUUGACGGCGGGAGUUCGAUGGGUCUGUCGUCGGCGAUGGUUGUAGUAAUGGUAGUGGUGGGUUCGGCGACUCGAGUAAGCCAUGGCUCAGGUCUAGUGCUGAGAUGGUUUUAGAGAG
RNAcentral lists this long non-coding RNA (1053 nucleotides) under Actinidia chinensis (golden kiwifruit). RNAcentral's name for it is "long non-coding RNA (ACHI_LNC009651)". Lineage: Eukaryota; Viridiplantae; Streptophyta; Magnoliopsida; Ericales; Actinidiaceae. The record is from RNAcentral.